RNAcentral lists this ribosomal RNA (460 nucleotides) under uncultured bacterium. RNAcentral describes it as "partial 16S ribosomal RNA". It matches the Rfam family "Bacterial small subunit ribosomal RNA", at positions 338 to 795 of the family's 1533-position model. The record is from RNAcentral.
CCUACGCGUGGCAGCAGUGAGGAAUAUUGGUCAAUGGGCGUAAGCCUGAACCAGCCAAGUCGCGUGAGGGAUGAAGGUUCUAUGGAUCGUAAACCUCUUUUAUAAGGGAAUAAAGUGCGGGACGUGUCCCGUUUUGUAUGUACCUUAUGAAUAAGGAUCGGCUAACUCCGUGCCAGCAGCCGCGGUAAUACGGAGGAUCCGAGCGUUAUCCGGAUUUAUUGGGUUUAAAGGGUGCGUAGGCGGCCUUUUAAGUCAGCGGUGAAAGGCUGUGGCUCAACCACAGAAUUGCCGUUGAAACUGGGCGGCUUGAGUAUGUUUGAGGCAGGCGGAAGGCGUGGUGUAGCGGUGAAAGGCUUAGAUAUCACGCAGAACCCCGAUUGCGAAGGCAGCCUGCCAAGCCAUGACUGACGCUGAUGCACGAAAGCGUGGGGAUCAAACAGGAUUAGAUACCCCUGUAGUC